Molecule: ribosomal RNA, 492 nt
Filed under: uncultured bacterium
Lineage: Bacteria
Description: partial 16S ribosomal RNA
Rfam family: Bacterial small subunit ribosomal RNA
Source: RNAcentral
AGUGAACGCUGGCGGUAGGCCUAACACAUGCAAGUCGAACGGCAGCACAGUAAGAGCUUGCUCUUACGGGUGGCGAGUGGCGGACGGGUGAGGAAUACAUCGGAAUCUACUUUUUCGUGGGGGAUAACGUAGGGAAACUUACGCUAAUACCGCAUACGACCUACGGGUGAAAGCAGGGGAUCUUCGGACCUUGCGCGAUUGAAUGAGCCGAUGUCGGAUUAGCUAGUUGGCGGGGUAAAGGCCCACCAAGGCGACGAUCCGUAGCUGGUCUGAGAGGAUGAUCAGCCACACUGGAACUGAGACACGGUCCAGACUCCUACGGGAGGCAGCAGUGGGGAAUAUUGGAGAAUGGGCGCAAGCCUGAUCCAGCCAUACCGCGUUGGUGAAGAAGGCCUUCGGGUUGUAAAGCCCUUUUGUUGGGAAAGAAAAGCAGCAGGUUAAAACCCCGCUGUUCUGACGGUACCCAAAGAAUAAGCACCGGCUAACUUCGUG